Molecule: ribosomal RNA, 492 nt
Filed under: uncultured bacterium
Lineage: Bacteria
Description: partial 16S ribosomal RNA
Rfam family: Bacterial small subunit ribosomal RNA
Source: RNAcentral
AGUGAACGCUGGCGGUAGGCCUAACACAUGCAAGUCGAACGGCAGCACAGUAAGAGCUUGCUCUUACGGGUGGCGAGUGGCGGACGGGUGAGGAAUACAUCGGAAUCUACUUUUUCGUGGGGGAUAACGUAGGGAAACUUACGCUAAUACCGCAUACGACCUACGGUUGAAAGCAUGGGAUCUUCGGACCUUGCGCGAUUGAAUGAGCCGAUGUCGGAUUAGCUAGUUGGCGGGGUAAAGGCCCACCAAGGCGACGAUCCGUAGCUGGUCUGAGAGGAUGAUCAGCCGCACUGGAACUGAGACACGGUCCAGACUCCUACGGGAGGCAGCAGUGGGGAAUAUUGGACAGUGGGCGCAAGCCUGAUCCAGCCAUACCGCGUGGGUGAAGAAGGCCUUCGGGUUGUAAAGACCUUUUGUUGGGAAAGAAAAGCAGCAGGUUAAUACCCCGCUGUUCUGACGGUACCCAAAGAAUAAGCACCGGCUAACUUCGUG